Molecule: ribosomal RNA, 492 nt
Filed under: uncultured bacterium
Lineage: Bacteria
Description: partial 16S ribosomal RNA
Rfam family: Bacterial small subunit ribosomal RNA
Source: RNAcentral
AGUGAACGCUGGCGGUAGGCCUAACACAUGCAAGUCGAACGGCCGCACAGUAAGAGCUUGCUCUUACGGGUGGCGAGUGGCGGACGGGUGAGGAAUACAUCGGAAUCUACUUUUUCGUGGGGGAUAACGUAGGGAAACUUACGCUAAUACCGCAUACGACCUACGGGUGAAAGCAGGGGAUCUUCGGACCUUGCGCGAUUGAAUGAGCCGAUGUCGGAUUAGCCAGUUGGCGGGGUAAAGGCCCACGAAGGCGACGAUCCGUAGCUGGUCUGAGAGGAUGAUCAGCCACACUGGAAGUGAGACACGGCACAGACUCCUACGGGAGGCAGCAGUGGGGAAUAUUGGACAAUGGGCGCAAGGCUGAUCCAGCCAUACCGCGUGGGUGAAGAAGGCCUUCGGGUUGGAGAGCCCUGUUGUUGGGAAAGAAAAGCAGCAGGUUAAUACCCCGCUGUUCUGACGGUACCCAAAGAAUAAGCACCGGCUAACUUCGUG